GAACCCACGUACGUUGAAAAGUGCGGGGAUGAGGUGUGGGUAGCGGAGAAAUUCCAAACGAACUUGGAGAUAGCUGGUUCUCUCCGAAAUAGCUUUAGGGCUAGCCUCGGAAUUGAGAAUGAUGGAGGUAGAGCACUGUUUGGACUAGGGGCCCAUCUCGGGUUACCGAAUUCAGAUAAACUCCGAAUGCCAUUCAUUCAUAUCCGGGAGUCAGACUGUGAGUGAUAAGAUCCAUAGUCGAAAGGGAAACAGCCCAGACCACCAGCUAAGGUCCCAAAAUAUAUGUUAAGUGGAAAAGGAUGUGGGGUUGCACAGACAACUAGG
This 324-nucleotide ribosomal RNA is filed under the name Enterococcus faecium. RNAcentral's name for it is "partial 23S ribosomal RNA". It matches the Rfam family "Bacterial large subunit ribosomal RNA", at positions 776 to 1097 of the family's 2925-position model. Lineage: Bacteria; Bacillati; Bacillota; Bacilli; Lactobacillales; Enterococcaceae. The record is from RNAcentral.